Molecule: ribosomal RNA, 794 nt
Filed under: uncultured bacterium
Lineage: Bacteria
Description: bacterial SSU rRNA
Rfam family: Bacterial small subunit ribosomal RNA
Source: RNAcentral
UAGAGUUUGAUCCUGGCUCAGGAUGAACGCUAGCGGCAGGCUUAACACAUGCAAGUCGAGGGGCAUCGGGAGGGAAGCUUGCUUUCCUUGCCGGCGACCGGCGCACGGGUGAGUAACACGUAUGCAACCUGCCCUCUUCAGGGGGACAACCUUCCGAAAGGGAGGCUAAUCCCGCGUAUAUCGGUUUCGGGCAUCCGAGAUCGAGGAAAGAUUCAUCGGAAGAGGAUGGGCAUGCGGCGCAUUAGCUUGACGGCGGGGUAACGGCCCACCGUGGCGACGAUGCGUAGGGGUUCUGAGAGGAAGGUCCCCCACACUGGUACUGAGACACGGACCAGACUCCUACGGGAGGCAGCAGUGAGGAAUAUUGGUCAAUGGGAGAGAUCCUGAACCAGCCAAGCCGCGUGAGGGAAGACGGCCCUAUGGGUUGUAAACCUCUUUUGUCGGAGAACAAAACCCGGGACGUGUCCCGGACUGCGUGUAUCCGAAGAAAAAGCAUCGGCUAACUCCGUGCCAGCAGCCGCGGUAAUACGGAGGAUGCGAGCGUUAUCCGGAUUUAUUGGGUUUAAAGGGUGCGUAGGCGGUCCGUUAAGUCAGCGGUAAAAUUGCGGGGCUCAACCCCGUCGAGCCGUUGAAACUGGCAGACUUGAGUUGGCGAGAAGUACGCGGAAUGCGCGGUGUAGCGGUGAAAUGCAUAGAUAUCGCGCAGAACUCCGAUUGCGAAGGCAGCGUACCGGCGCCACACUGACGCUGAGGCACGAAAGCGUGGGGAUCGAACAGGAUUAGAUACCCUGGUA